Molecule: long non-coding RNA, 930 nt
Organism: Empidonax traillii (willow flycatcher)
Lineage: Eukaryota; Metazoa; Chordata; Aves; Passeriformes; Tyrannidae
Exons: 3
Source: RefSeq, a predicted model, not a curated record
UGUGUGUCCUGACAAAAAACAGCCUGAGGGAAAGAGAGAAUGUCCCUAUUCCCACACAUUCUUCCAAACUUAAGUUUCCCAGCCACAAAAGGUCACUUGAGCAAAGAGAAAUUCCCAAACCAGUUCAUAUCCUUUCCCAUUUCUUACAUGGGGGUCCUACAGUCACCAUGGAGCAUCAUAGCAAGCGAGAACUGGGCAUGUGUCUGCAACCACAAAUGCUGUUCCAGGCACAGAAGGAUCACAGGUCCAGGUUACAGAGCUCCCAGCAUCACCCAGCAUCUCCCUGGCCACUGUGCAGAGCAUCUACUAAGGACUGAGAGCAAAUACAGCACAGCACAAGAUUUUAGGCAAGACAGAUGGUUCAGACAUGAUUUCCUACAAAUCUUACUUGCCUUUGGCACAGCCAGGUUUGUCAGAUAAUGGCAGUGACAGUUAGUUGAAUGUUCAGUUUAGUGCUUUGAGCAGCGGGUACCUUCCGAUUGAGAUUAUUUGCAUGGAAUAACACAAAGCUCCAUCAGCAGAGUGGCUCUCCUGGAAAAUAAUGACGUUUGGCUGUGCAGGAGCCAGGACAAAGCCCACUCCCUGCCUGUAAUCCACUGGAAGCCACUCAAUAGCACUUGAGCAGGGUCUGAGGGGGCAGGGCUGUGUGCCAGACCUCUGCCUGCAGCCAAGGCGUUAUGCAUUAUUUAACAAAAGGUGUCAGGCUGACUUUUUGCACUGGCUGAAAGCAAAAUCACAGCCAUUUGAAGCGGGCUCUUUGGAAACUAAAAUUAUCUUCACAUCACAUUUCUUCUCCAGUAACGCCAGCAUUACAUUUUCUCAAAUUCUGAGUCAGACAUCAGGAAAAAGAGUAAAAAUGUAAUAAGCUCAAAUAUCACAGAAUCCUUCAGGUUGGAAAGACUUCUAAGACCAUCAUGUCCAACCAUUAAA